RNAcentral lists this ribosomal RNA (252 nucleotides) under uncultured bacterium. Its description in RNAcentral is "partial 16S ribosomal RNA". It matches the Rfam family "Bacterial small subunit ribosomal RNA", at positions 524 to 776 of the family's 1533-position model. The record is from RNAcentral.
UACGGAGGAUGCGAGCGUUAUCCGGAUUUAUUGGGUUUAAAGGGUGCGCAGGCGGCACGGCAAGCCGGCGGUCAAAUCGCGGGGCUCAACCCCGCCCAGCCGUCGGAACUGCCGGGCUAGAGUGGGCGAGAAGUGCGCGGAAUGCGUGGUGUAGCGGUGAAAUGCAUAGAUAUCACGCAGAACACCGAUUGCGAAGGCAGCGCACCGGCGCCCUACUGACGCUCAGGCACGAAAGCGUGGGUAUCGAACAGG